GGCUAAACCAUGCACCGAAGCUGCGGCAGCGACACUGUGUGUUGUUGGGUAGGGGAGCGUUCUGUAAGCCUGUGAAGGUGUGUCGUGAGGCAUGCUGGAGGUAUCAGAAGUGCGAAUGCUGACAUAAGUAACGAUAAAGCGGGUGAAAAGCCCGCUCGCCGGAAGACCAAGGGUUCCUGUCCAACGUUAAUCGGGGCAGGGUGAGUCGACCCCUAAGGCGAGGCCGAAAGGCGUAGUCGAUGGGAAACGGGUUAAUAUUCCCGUACUUGGUGUUACUGCGAAGGGGGGACGGAGAAGGCUAUGUUGGCCGGGCGACGGUUGUCCCGGUUUAAGCGUGUAGGUGUGUGUUCCAGGUAAAUCCGGUUCACUUUAACACUGAGGCGUGACGACGAGGCACUACGGUGCUGAAGCAACAAAUGCCCUGCUUCCAGGAAAAGCCUCUAAGCAUCAGGUAACAUCAAAUCGUACCCCAAACCGACACAGGUGGUCAGGUAGAGAAUACCAAGGCGCUUGAGAGAACUCGGGUGAAGGAACUAGGCAAAAUGGUGCCGUAACUUCGGGAGAAGGCACGCUGACACGUAGGUGAAGUGAUUUACUCAUGGAGCUGAAGUCAGUCGAAGAUACCAGCUGGCUGCAACUGUUUAUUAAAAACACAGCACUGUGCAAACACGAAAGUGGACGUAUACGGUGUGACGCCUGCCCGGUGCCGGAAGGUUAAUUGAUGGGGUCAGCGCAAGCGAAGCUCCUGAUCGAAGCCCCGGUAAACGGCGGCCGUAACUAUAACGGUCCUAAGGUAGCGAAAUUCCUUGUCGGGUAAGUUCCGACCUGCACGAAUGGCGUAAUGAUGGCCAGGCUGUCUCCACCCGAGACUCAGUGAAAUUGAACUCGCUGUGAAGAUGCAGUGUACCCGCGGCAAGACGGAAAGACCCCGUGAACCUUUACUAUAGCUUGACACUGAACAUUGAGCCUUGAUGUGUAGGAUAGGUGGGAGGCUUUGAAGUGUGGACGCCAGUCUGCAUGGAGCCGACCUUGAAAUACCACCCUUUAAUGUUUGAUGUUCUAACGUGGACCCGUUACCCGGGUUGCGGACAGUGUCUGGUGGGUAGUUUGACUGGGGCGGUCUCCUCC
RNAcentral lists this ribosomal RNA (1128 nucleotides) under Salmonella enterica. RNAcentral's name for it is "partial 23S ribosomal RNA". It matches the Rfam family "Bacterial large subunit ribosomal RNA", at positions 1179 to 2290 of the family's 2925-position model. Lineage: Bacteria; Pseudomonadati; Pseudomonadota; Gammaproteobacteria; Enterobacterales; Enterobacteriaceae. The record is from RNAcentral.